GCAAGUCGAACGGAAACAUGAACUAGCUUGCUACUUUGACGACGAGUGGCGGACGGGUGAGUAAUGCUUGGGAAUUUGCCUUUAGGUGGGGGACAACAGUUGGAAACGACUGCUAAUACCGCAUAAUACCUACGGCUUAAAGAGGGCUUCGGCUCUCGCCUUAGAGAAGCCCAAGUGGGAUUAGAUAGUUGGUGAGGUAAAGGCUCACCAAGUCAACGAUCCCUAGCUGGUCUGAGAGGAUGAUC
RNAcentral lists this ribosomal RNA (245 nucleotides) under uncultured bacterium. RNAcentral describes it as "partial 16S ribosomal RNA". It matches the Rfam family "Bacterial small subunit ribosomal RNA", at positions 57 to 305 of the family's 1533-position model. The record is from RNAcentral.